RNAcentral lists this ribosomal RNA (378 nucleotides) under Salmonella enterica subsp. enterica serovar Infantis. Its description in RNAcentral is "bacterial SSU rRNA". It matches the Rfam family "Bacterial small subunit ribosomal RNA", at positions 1 to 375 of the family's 1533-position model. The record is from RNAcentral. Lineage: Bacteria; Pseudomonadati; Pseudomonadota; Gammaproteobacteria; Enterobacterales; Enterobacteriaceae. RNAcentral also lists the same sequence under 2 other names.
AAAUUGAAGAGUUUGAUCAUGGCUCAGAUUGAACGCUGGCGGCAGGCCUAACACAUGCAAGUCGAACGGUAACAGGAAGCAGCUUGCUGCUUCGCUGACGAGUGGCGGACGGGUGAGUAAUGUCUGGGAAACUGCCUGAUGGAGGGGGAUAACUACUGGAAACGGUGGCUAAUACCGCAUAACGUCGCAAGACCAAAGAGGGGGACCUUCGGGCCUCUUGCCAUCAGAUGUGCCCAGAUGGGAUUAGCUUGUUGGUGAGGUAACGGCUCACCAAGGCGACGAUCCCUAGCUGGUCUGAGAGGAUGACCAGCCACACUGGAACUGAGACACGGUCCAGACUCCUACGGGAGGCAGCAGUGGGGAAUAUUGCACAAUGGG